GUAAAUGUAAAUUUUUUGAACGAUAACUAUGUAAUAGCCGGUACUGUGCUGGAAAUGGAACCUGCUGCUCUGUGAUUCUGAUCAGCUUUUUAACCGUCAAGGGUCCUCAAGCCCUAAGAGUCCAUCACCCUGAGAGUCGAUCAAGCUCUACUGUAACCAAGAUUUCAUGUAUAUAAUACUAGUGUCAUCCUGGGCAGUUUAUUAAUACACUACCAAUGACACCACCAUGCAUGGUACACUUAUAUAUACGGCAACUUGUGGUUUAAUACCUCUUGGCAAAAGGGCUCUUUAGGUCAGAGGGCUGCGGUAGAAUUGCCGGGCUGCAGGUUCAAUUCAUGCUGACAGGCUUGUAAUUGUAUUCCACAUGUAUUCAUGAUAUCAUUCUAAUCAAAAUUUCAUUUUAGAACUUCAUUAAAAAAUAUUAUAGGUCAUAUACGAGUAUAUCAUGAUUAUAUUAUGCUACAGCAAAUUGUAUUUCCUGCUAUAAUAUACCUUACUUGCAGAGAUAAUAAAUUAUUUUGAC
Paramuricea clavata is the source of this 523-nucleotide non-coding RNA. NCBI's taxonomy places the organism in Eukaryota, Metazoa, Cnidaria, Anthozoa, Malacalcyonacea, Plexauridae. The record is from the annotation of a GenBank genome assembly.